Molecule: ribosomal RNA, 301 nt
Filed under: uncultured bacterium
Lineage: Bacteria
Description: partial 16S ribosomal RNA
Rfam family: Bacterial small subunit ribosomal RNA
Source: RNAcentral
CAGCCGCCACGGGAAUACGAAGGGGGCUAGCGUUGCUCGGAAUGACUGGGCGUAAAGGGCGCGUAGGCGGCGAUCAAAGUCAGGCGUGAAAUUCCUGGGCUCAACCUGUGGGCUGCGUUUGAUACUUGAUUGCUAGAGUGGGGAAGAGGGUCGUGGAAUUCCCAGUGUAGAGGUGAAAUUCGUAGGUAUUGGGAAGAACACCGGUGGCGAAGGCGGCGACCUGGUCCUUGACUGACGCUGAGGCGCGAAAGCGUGGGGAGCAAACAGGAUUAGAUACCCCAGUAGUCCCUGUCUCUUUACA